CUCCACCGCUUGUGUGAGCCCCCGUCAAUUCCUUUGAGUUUCAGCCUUGCGACCAUACUCCCCAGGCGGGGUGCUUAACACUUUUGCUUCGGCAGUGAACCCAUGUUAAGUCCACUACCUAGUACCCAUCGUUUAGGGCUAGGACUACCGGGGUAUCUAAUCCCGUUCGCUCCCCUAGCUUUCGCGCCUCAGCGUCAGAAGAGGUCCAGCACGUCGCUUUCGCCACCGGCGUUCCUUCCGAUAUCAACGCAUUUCACCGCUCCACCGGAAGUUCCACAUGCCCCUACCUCGCUCAAGACGGUCAGUAUCAGAGGCUGUUUUCCGGUUGAGCCGAAAGAUUUCACCCCUGACUUGACCACCCGCCUACGCGCCCUUUAAGCCCAGUGAUUCCGAACAACGUUUGCACGGUUCGUCUUACCGCGGCUGCUGGCACGAACUUAGCCCGUGCUUCCUCCAG
RNAcentral lists this ribosomal RNA (457 nucleotides) under uncultured Planctomycetota bacterium. Its description in RNAcentral is "uncultured planctomycete partial 16S ribosomal RNA". The record is from RNAcentral. Lineage: Bacteria; Pseudomonadati; Planctomycetota.